AUGUUGAAAGGGGUUAGGGUUAUAAAAUAUUGGAACUAUCCAGCUUCAUCUUGCAAACACCGUUAUUCUCCGAUCGAUUCUUCUUCAGAACUCCGAUCAUCACAUACUGCCGUCGUCGCAUUAUCAUCUUCUUCAUCAAGAUUCCGCCAUCAAAUUCUUUCUCUUGAUUCAUUCGACUUUAGUCUCGAUGCCUCCCUUAUUUUGCUUCAACUUCCACUUCAAGAGCUCAAACUUCGUGAUUCUUCGUGA
Molecule: non-coding RNA, 249 nt
Organism: Vicia faba (fava bean)
Lineage: Eukaryota; Viridiplantae; Streptophyta; Magnoliopsida; Fabales; Fabaceae
Source: the annotation of a GenBank genome assembly